CGUGACGCCGGCUCCUUGGACCUGGCGCCGAACGUGCUUCCCAAUCCAAUGUGAGCAAAGAAAGUGAUGCAUUCUACAAAUUGACCAACACAAGGUCCCAGAUCUAGGCUUAUGUUUUUGAUGUGAUCAAUGCAAGUGUUCCAAAGCUCCUCCUGGAUGAUGCUUUUGAGCAGAAGAAUGACAUUGCAAAGGCUGUGGAGGAUGAGCUUGAGAAGGCUAUGUCAGCAUAUGGCUUUGAGAUCGUGCAGACACUCAUCGUUGACAUUGAUCCAGAUGAGCAUGUCAAGUGAGCAAUGAACGAGAUCAAUGCAGGCCCAGUAUAUUGGCGACAUCUUCCAAGUGAAUAUGCAGAAUUCUACCAUUGAAGACGAAUCCAUGCCACUCUGUGUCGUAAGUAUCAGCUACUUUCUUGCAGAACUUGCGACGAAUUCGAACGUUUCCUAGACUUAACAAUCCUGCAAGAGGGGUUUUUGCAAUUGCCUCCCUCUUCCGCUGUCAAGAUUACAUAAAUUAACUCGUACAAUGCUGUUUGACAGCAGACCUGUGUUUCCUGUAUAUUAUUAAUGGAGUCAUUAGCAGGCUGAGUAUGGUUCGAUAUUGUUAGGUAAUUCUGGAAUCGAAGAUA
Long non-coding RNA from Lolium rigidum, 625 nucleotides. RefSeq lists it as uncharacterized. NCBI's taxonomy places the organism in Eukaryota, Viridiplantae, Streptophyta, Magnoliopsida, Poales, Poaceae. The transcript has 3 exons. The record is from RefSeq and is a predicted model, not a curated record.